This 253-nucleotide ribosomal RNA is filed under the name uncultured bacterium. Its description in RNAcentral is "partial 16S ribosomal RNA". It matches the Rfam family "Bacterial small subunit ribosomal RNA", at positions 524 to 776 of the family's 1533-position model. The record is from RNAcentral.
GACAGAGGAGGCAAUCGUCUGUGGGAAUCAUUGGGCUUAAAGCGCGCGUAGGCGGCCUUGUAAGUGUCUUGUGAAAUCCCACGGCUCACCCGUGGAACUGCAGGGCAAACUGCAAGACUUGAGGUCGGUAGAGGCGCCUGGAACUCUAGGUGGAGCGGUGAAAUGCGUAGAUAUCUAGGGGAACGCCGGAGGCGAAAGCGGGGCGCUGUGCCGAUUCUGACGCUGAUGCGCGAAAGCGUGGGGAGCAAACAGG